CCUACGGGAGGCAGCAGUGGGGAAUUUUGGACAAUGGGCGCAAGCCUGAUCCAGCAAUGCCGCGUGAGUGAAGAAGGCCUUCGGGUUGUAAAGCUCUUUUGUCAGGGAAGAAACGGUGGGGGCUAAUAUCCUCCACUAAUGACGGUACCUGAAGAAUAAGCACCGGCUAACUACGUGCCAGCAGCCGCGGUAAUACGUAGGGUGCAAGCGUUAAUCGGAAUUACUGGGCGUAAAGCGUGCGCAGGCGGUUUUGUAAGUUUGUCGUGAAAUCCCCGGGCUCAACCUGGGAAUGGCGAUGAAGACUGCAAGGCUAGAAUCUGGCAGAGGGGGGUAGAAUUCCACGUGUAGCAGUGAAAUGCGUAGAGAUGUGGAGGAACACCGAUGGCGAAGGCAGCCCCCUGGGUCAAGAUUGACGCUCAUGCACGAAAGCGUGGGGAGCAAACAGGAUUAGAUACCCUGGUAGUCCACGCCCUAAACGAUGUCUACUAGUUGUCGGGUUUUAAUAACUUGGUAACGCAGCUACGCGUGAGUAGACGCCGUGGAGGUACGGUCGCGAAGUAGUAAACGUUACGAAGUAAGUUAGUUAGCGNGAGACGNGCGACGGACGACGACGAGGGAGGAGG
This 623-nucleotide ribosomal RNA is filed under the name uncultured bacterium. RNAcentral's name for it is "bacterial SSU rRNA". The stretch from base 1 to 538 matches the Rfam family "Bacterial small subunit ribosomal RNA", at positions 338 to 873 of the family's 1533-position model. The record is from RNAcentral.